CACGGAGGUGUUGGCCGCCGAGUCGAUGAUUGGACGUCGAUGAGAUGCCACGAAUAAAUAUGGUGAUCGCAGCUGAAAAUAUGAUGGAAGAUGGAGCAUUGACACACAGCACGUAACAUAACGAAUGUGCUUGAAUGGAA
Molecule: long non-coding RNA, 140 nt
Organism: Daphnia pulicaria
Lineage: Eukaryota; Metazoa; Arthropoda; Branchiopoda; Diplostraca; Daphniidae
Exons: 2
Source: RefSeq, a predicted model, not a curated record